AGUGAACGCUGGCGGUAGGCCUAACACAUGCAAGUCGAACGGCAGCACAGUAAGAGCUUGCUCUUACGGGUGGCGAGUGGCGGACGGGUGAGGAAUACAUCGGAAUCUACUUUUUCGUGGGGGAUAACGUAGGGAAACUUACGCUAAUACCGCAUACGACCUACGGGUGAAAGCAGGGGAUCUUCGGACCUUGCGCGAUUGAAUGAGCCGAUGUCGGAUUAGCUAGUUGGCGGGGUAAAGGCCCACCAAGGCGACGAUCCGUAGCUGGUCUGAGAGGAUGAUCAGCCACACUGGAACUGAGACACGGUCCAGACUCCUACGGGAGGCAGCAGUGGGGAAUAUGGGACAAUGGGCGCAAGCCUGAUCCAGCCAGACCGCGUGGGUGAAGAAGGCCUUCGGGUUGUAAAGCCCUUUUGUUGGGAAAGAAAAGCAGCAGGUUAAUACCCCGCUGUUCUGACGGUACCCAAAGAAUAAGCACCGGCUAACUUCGUG
RNAcentral lists this ribosomal RNA (492 nucleotides) under uncultured bacterium. RNAcentral's name for it is "partial 16S ribosomal RNA". It matches the Rfam family "Bacterial small subunit ribosomal RNA", at positions 29 to 507 of the family's 1533-position model. The record is from RNAcentral.